CACGUAGGCACCAAGCGUUGUCCGGAUUUAUUGUGCGUAAAGAGCUCGUAGGCGGUUCAGUAAGUCGGGUGUGAAAACUCUGGGCUUAACCCAGAGCCGCCACCCGAUACUGCUGUGACUAGAGUCCGGUAGGGGAGUGGGGAAUUCCUAGUGUAGCGGUGAAAUGCGCAGAUAUUAGGAGGAACACCAGUGGCGAAGGCGCCACUCUGGGCCGGAACUGACGCUGAGGAGCGAAAGCGUGGGUAGCAAACAGG
RNAcentral lists this ribosomal RNA (254 nucleotides) under uncultured Ilumatobacter sp. RNAcentral describes it as "partial 16S ribosomal RNA". It matches the Rfam family "Bacterial small subunit ribosomal RNA", at positions 524 to 776 of the family's 1533-position model. The record is from RNAcentral. Lineage: Bacteria; Bacillati; Actinomycetota; Acidimicrobiia; Acidimicrobiales; Ilumatobacteraceae.